RNAcentral lists this ribosomal RNA (768 nucleotides) under uncultured Lactarius. Its description in RNAcentral is "eukaryotic LSU rRNA". The stretch from base 299 to 452 matches the Rfam family "5.8S ribosomal RNA". The record is from RNAcentral. Lineage: Eukaryota; Fungi; Basidiomycota; Agaricomycetes; Russulales; Russulaceae.
CUUGGUCAUUUAGAGGAAGUAAAAGUCGUAACAAGGUUUCCGUAGGUGAACCUGCGGAAGGAUCAUUAUCGUACAAAAUGUGUGAGGCAUGCAAGGGCUGUCGCUGACUUUUUAAUCACAAAAAGUCGUGCACGCCGGAGCGUGUCCUCUCGCAUAAAAUCCAUCUCACCCUUUUGUGCACCACCGCGUGGGCACCCUUUGGGAUCGAACCGAUCCAGGAGGGCGCUUGCGUUUUCACACAAACCCCCUUAUAAAAGUGUAGAAUGACCCCAUUUUUGCGAUAACACGCAAUCAAUACAACUUUCAACAACGGAUCUCUUGGCUCUCGCAUCGAUGAAGAACGCAGCGAAAUGCGAUACGUAAUGUGAAUUGCAGAAUUCAGUGAAUCAUCGAAUCUUUGAACGCACCUUGCGCCCCUUGGUAUUCCGAGGGGCACACCCGUUUGAGUGUCGUGAAAAUCUCAACCUCCUCGGUUUCUUCUGGACGCCGAAGGAGGCUUGGACUUUGGAGGCCUUUGCUGGCGUCUCUCGCCAGCUCCUCUCAAAUGAAUUAGCGGGGUCCUCUUUGCCGAUCCUCGACGUGUGAUAAGAUGUUUCCAUGUCUUGGUUUCUGGCUCUGUCGCCUUUGGGACCCGCUUCUAACCGUCUCAAGUCGAGACAACGUUUGAGCGUGUCUCCCUUCUCGGGAAACACCCUCGAGCCCACGAACCCUUGACCUCAAAUCGGGUGAGACUACCCGCUGAACUUAAGCAUAUCAAUAAGCGGAGGA